Molecule: ribosomal RNA, 301 nt
Filed under: uncultured bacterium
Lineage: Bacteria
Description: partial 16S ribosomal RNA
Rfam family: Bacterial small subunit ribosomal RNA
Source: RNAcentral
CAGCAGCCGCGGGAAUACGGAGGGUGCAAGCGUUAAUCGGAAUUACUGGGCGUAAAGCGCACGCAGGCGGUCUGUCAAGUCAGAUGUGAAAUCCCCGGGUUUAACCUGGGAACUGCAUUUGAUACUGGGAAGCUAGAGUAUGGGAGAGGAUGGUAGAAUUCCAGGUGUAGCGGUGAAAUGCGUAGAGAUCUGGAGGAAUACCGAUGGCGAAGGCAGCCAUCUGGCCUAAUACUGACGCUGAGGUACGAAAGCAUGGGGAGCAAACAGGAUUAGAUACCCCGGUAGUCCCUGUCUCUUAUAA